UACGUAGGGUGCAAGCGUUGUCCGGAUUUAUUGGGCGUAAAGAGCUCGUAGGCGGUUUGUCGCGUCGAAUGUGAAAACCCGGGGCUCAACCCCGGGCCUGCAUUCGAUACGGGCAGACUAGAGUUCGGUAGGGGAGUCUGGAAUUCCUGGUGUAGCGGUGAAAUGCGCAGAUAUCAGGAGGAACACCGGUGGCGAAGGCGGGUCUCUGGGCCGAUACUGACGCUGAGGAGCGAAAGCGUGGGGAGCGAACAGG
RNAcentral lists this ribosomal RNA (253 nucleotides) under uncultured bacterium. RNAcentral describes it as "partial 16S ribosomal RNA". It matches the Rfam family "Bacterial small subunit ribosomal RNA", at positions 524 to 776 of the family's 1533-position model. The record is from RNAcentral.